Molecule: unclassified non-coding RNA, 253 nt
Filed under: uncultured Rickettsiaceae bacterium
Lineage: Bacteria; Pseudomonadati; Pseudomonadota; Alphaproteobacteria; Rickettsiales; Rickettsiaceae
Description: contains 16S-23S intergenic spacer region
Rfam family: Bacterial small subunit ribosomal RNA
Source: RNAcentral
UACGGAGGGGGCUAGCGUUGUUCGGAACUACUGGGCGUAAAGAGCGCGUAGGCGGAUUAGUAAGUUGGAAGUGAAAGCCCAAGGCUCAACCUUGGAACUGCUUUCAAAACUGCUAGUCUUGAGUGAAGUAGGGGGUGAUGGAAUUCCUAGUGUAGAGGUGAAAUUCUUAGAUAUUAGGAGGAACACCGGUGGCGAAGGCGGUCACCUGGGCUUCAACUGACGCUGAUGCGCGAAAGCGUGGGGAGCAAACAGG